Molecule: regulatory RNA element, 46 nt
Organism: Culex pipiens (northern house mosquito)
Lineage: Eukaryota; Metazoa; Arthropoda; Insecta; Diptera; Culicidae
Rfam family: Histone 3' UTR stem-loop
About the family: The mRNAs of metazoan histone genes lack a poly-A tail. 3' end processing occurs at a site between a highly conserved stem-loop (modelled by this family) and a purine rich region around 20 nts downstream (the histone downstream element, or HDE). The stem-loop is bound by a 31 kDa stem-loop binding protein (SLBP - also termed the histone hairpin binding protein, or HBP).
Source: Rfam
CCAACGGCCCUUUUCAGGGCCAAUAAUACCCUCACGAAAGAGUUAU